CCUACGGGUGGCAGCAGUCGAGAAUCAUUCACAAUGGGGGAAACCCUGAUGGUGCGACGCCGCGUGGGGGAAUGAAGGUCUUCGGAUUGUAAACCCCUGUCAUGUGGGAGCAAAUUAAAAAGAUAGUACCACAAGAGGAAGAGACGGCUAACUCUGUGCCAGCAGCCGCGGUAAUACAGAGGUCUCAAGCGUUGUUAGGAAUCACUGGGCGUAAAGCGUGCGUAGGCUGUUGCGUAAGUCGUGUGUGAAAGGCGCGGGCUCAACCCGCGGACGGCACAUGAUACUGCGAGACUAGAGUAAUGGAGGGGGAACCGGAAUUCUCGGUGUAGCAGUGAAAUGCGUAGAUAUCGAGAGGAACACUCGUGGCGAAGGCGGGUUACUGGACAUUAACUGACGCUGAGGCACGAAGGCCAGGGGAGCGAAAGGGAUUAGAUACCCCAGUAGUC
This 446-nucleotide ribosomal RNA is filed under the name uncultured bacterium. RNAcentral's name for it is "partial 16S ribosomal RNA". It matches the Rfam family "Bacterial small subunit ribosomal RNA", at positions 338 to 795 of the family's 1533-position model. The record is from RNAcentral.